AAAUAUUCCUGCACCGCCAACGAAUGUUUCCACAGGGGGGACGGAGAAACGUAGCCGAGCCGGAUAUUGGAUACCGGUUCAAGCCCGUAGGGAGACACGCUAGGAGGCCUCGUGCCACAAACGGCGUGUCAAUCCUGAGAGGUGAUGAAGAGGACGCUUGCGUCCAUCAAUUCGGUAAUCGUCCGCUUCCAAGAAAAGCCUCGGUGGAGUCAACAUCGUCGGCGACCGUACCGCAAACCGACACAGGUGGGCGGGGAGAAUAUCCCAAGGCGCUUGAGAGAACCCUGCCUAAGGAACUCGCAAAAUGACACCGUAACUUCGGGAGAAGGUGUGCCCUCAUUACGUGAACCGCGCACGCGGGGAGCGGACGGGGGUUGCAGAGAAUCGGGGGUAGCGACUGUUUACCAAAAACACAGCACUCUGCGAAGUCGCAAGACGACGUAUAGGGUGUGACGCCUGCCCGGUGCCGGAAGGUUAAGAGGAGGAGUCAGCGCAAGCAAAGCUCCGAAUCGAAGCCCCGGUAAACGGCGGCCGUAACGAUAACGGUCCUAAGGUAGCGAAAUUCCUUGUCGGGUAAGUUCCGACCUGCACGAAUGGCGUAACGACUUCCCCACUGUCUCGGGCAGGGACUCAGCGAAGUAGCACUGGGGGUGAAGAUACCCUCUACCCACGACAGGACGGAAAGACCCCGUGAACCUUCACUACAGCUUGACACUGAUUUUCGAAGUGAUUUGCGUAGGAUAGGUGGGAGGCUAUGAAGUCGGGAUUCCGGUCUCGGCAGAGCCAACGUUGAAAUACCACCCUGAUCUCUUUGGAACUCUAACCUACAUCCGUCAGCCGGAUGGGGGACACUGUCUGGUGGGUAGUUUGACUGGGGCGGUCGCCUCCCAAAGAGUAACGGAGGCGCGCGAUGGUUCCCUCAGCCUGAUUGGAAACCAGGCGUCGAGUGUAAAGGCACAAGGGAGCUUGACUGCGAUACCGACGAGUCGAGCAGGUACGAAAGUAGGUCUUAGUGAUCCGGUGGCGCCACAUGGAAGGGCCAUCGCUCAACGGAUAAAAGGUACUCCGGGGAUAACAGGCUUAUCACGUCCAAGAGUUCACAUCGACGACGUGGUUUGGCACCUCGAUGUCGGCUCAUCGCAUCCUGGGGCUGAAGUCGGUCCCAAGGGUUUGGCUGUUCGCCAAUUAAAGCGGUACGCGAGCUGGGUUCAGAACGUCGUGAGACAGUUCGGUCCCUAUCCGUCGUGGGCGCGGGACGCUUGAGAGGAGCUGACUUUAGUACGAGAGGACCGAGUUGGACGAACCUCUAGUGUUCCGGUUGUCGCGCCAGCGGCAUCGCCGGGUAGCUAUGUUCGGACGGGAUAACCGCUGAAAGCAUCUAAGCGGGAAGCCCCCCUCGAGAUGAGGCGUCCCUGAGCCUUCGGGCUCCUGAAGACCCCACGUAGACUACGUGGUUGAUAGGCGGGAGGUAGAAGUACAGCAAUGUAUGGAGCUAACCCGUACUAAUCGGUCGUGAGGCUUGACCAC
Molecule: ribosomal RNA, 1527 nt
Filed under: metagenome
Description: bacterial LSU rRNA
Rfam family: Bacterial large subunit ribosomal RNA
Source: RNAcentral